GAGUUGGUAUCUCAGUGGUAGAGUGCAUGCUUUGUAUGUAUGAUGUCCUGGGUUCGACAAUAAAAUAGUUUA
Non-coding RNA from Dallia pectoralis (Alaska blackfish), 72 nucleotides. Lineage: Eukaryota; Metazoa; Chordata; Actinopteri; Esociformes; Umbridae. The record is from the annotation of a GenBank genome assembly.